CAUAUCCAGCCCUAUGGAGGCCUGUGAGGCACAGCGGAGGCCACCGCCCUCCUCGCAGCUUACACUUAGCUGCUGCUGUGAAGCGGAUAUAAGUGGAACCUACUCCACACUCACAGAAAGUGCAAAAUUCAACAGGAUGCCUCUGUCUAACUUUUCACAAGCUCAGUUGUUUGAACAUGUCACACUUGUUACAGUGAGACCACAGGUACUGCUGUGGUCUGAAGUGGCCCAAACCCACGUGCUCCAUCCAUCCAACAUGAAAACCUCUCCCCACUGAGGAGUGAACUGUGACGUCAGAGCUCACAGGGACGUCUUUCCCCAGGCGUAUGUUUUUAAUCACAAAACUUUCACUCUCUGAAGUUGCCUUUGUGAGAGCUCAGGUAUAUAAGCCAUAUGUGGUCCCAGGAGCAUGUAGGCAUUUUAGCUGAGUGCAUGACACCUAUCCAAGGCAUGUCCCAGCCCACCUCACAGCUGUGUGACUAGAUCCUGGCCAAUGUAUGAUGAGCAGAGGUGAAGAAUGCAACUUCUGGAUCAUAGUCUUUCCUGUUCCCCAUGAGCUGGAAGGCAAAAACACUGGACCAUUCUAACAAGGAUAUUACUUCACAUUGGCAGACAACUCAAUUAGGAGUCUGGGCUUUCAAAUCCCCUGAGCAGCACCAUCAACU
Fukomys damarensis (Damara mole-rat) is the source of this 665-nucleotide long non-coding RNA. RefSeq lists it as uncharacterized. The record is from RefSeq and is a predicted model, not a curated record. NCBI's taxonomy places the organism in Eukaryota, Metazoa, Chordata, Mammalia, Rodentia, Bathyergidae. The transcript is spliced from 3 exons.